This 236-nucleotide unclassified non-coding RNA is filed under the name plant metagenome. RNAcentral describes it as "partial contains small subunit ribosomal RNA, internal transcribed spacer 1, and 5.8S ribosomal RNA". The record is from RNAcentral.
UUUCCGUAGGUGAACCUGCGGAAGGAUCAUUACUGAGUGAUGGCGACUCGGGGUCCAACCGCUCACCCGUGUUUAACUAACCUUGUUUCUUCGGCGGUCCCUCCUCACGGCCGCCGGGGGGCAUCUGUCCCCGGGGCCGCGCCCGGCGGAACCACCCGUGUAUGCUGUGUGUAGUAUGCAGUCUGAUACAAUUAUUAAAUUAAAUAAAACUUUCAACAACGGAUCUCUUGGUUCCG